UUGAGGGGAAUGUUGUCUGGCUCGAGGUCACUUUUUUCUCUAAAAUUAAUUCCAUCUUUCGUUUUAAUUUCAAACAAAUUACUACGAUCGACGAAUUGAUUCAUUCGAAACGAAGUGUCGUCGGACCAGGCUUCAUUCCCCCCACAAAUU
Molecule: microRNA precursor, 150 nt
Filed under: Cucumis melo (muskmelon)
Lineage: Eukaryota; Viridiplantae; Streptophyta; Magnoliopsida; Cucurbitales; Cucurbitaceae
Description: miR166c stem-loop (cme-MIR166c)
Gene: cme-MIR166c
Rfam family: mir-166 microRNA precursor family
About the family: This family represents the plant microRNA (miRNA) precursor mir-166.
Source: miRBase by way of RNAcentral